AGAACGAACGCUGGCGGCAUGCCUAACACAUGCAAGUCGAACGAGACCUUCGGGUCUAGUGGCGCACGGGUGCGUAACGCGUGGGAAUCUGCCCUUGGGUUCGGGAUAACAGUUGGAAACGACUGCUAAUACCGGAUGAUGUCCUCGGACCAAAGAUUUAUCGCCCAAGGAUGAGCCCGCGUAGGAUUAGCUAGUUGGUGAGGUAAGAGCUCACCAAGGCGACGAUCCUUAGCUGGUCUGAGAGGAUGAUCAGCCACACUGGGACUGAGACACGGCCCAGACUCCUACGGAGGCAGCAGUGGGAAUUUGGACAAGUGGGCGAAAGCCUGAUCCAGCAAUGCCGCGUGCAGGAAGAAGGCCUUCGGUGUAACUGUCUUUGUAGGAACCCCCCCGAAGUAC
This 399-nucleotide ribosomal RNA is filed under the name uncultured soil bacterium. RNAcentral's name for it is "bacterial SSU rRNA". It matches the Rfam family "Bacterial small subunit ribosomal RNA", at positions 26 to 463 of the family's 1533-position model. The record is from RNAcentral.